GAUGAACGCUGGCGGCGUGCCUAAUACAUGCAAGUCGAGCGAACAGACGAGGAGCUUGCUCCUCUAACGUUAGCGGCGGACGGGUGAGUAACACGUGGAUAACCUACCUAUAAGACUGGGAUAACUUCGGGAAACCGGAGCUAAUACCGGAUAAUAUAUUGAACCGCAUGGUUCAAUAGUGAAAGACGGUUUUGCUGUCACUUAUAGAUGGAUCCGCGCCGCAUUAGCUAGUUGGUAAGGUAACAGCUUACCAAGGCAACGAUGCGUAGCCGACCUGAGAGGGUGAUCGGCCACACUGGAACUGAGACACGGUCCAGACUCCUACGGGAGGCAGCAGUAGGGAAUCUUCCGCAAUGGGCGAAAGCCUGACGGAGCAAAGCCGCGUGAGUGAUGAAGGUCUUCGGAUCGUAAAACUCUGUUAUUAGGGAAGAACAAAUGUGUAAGUAACUAUGCACGUCUUGACGGUACCUAAUCAGAAAGCCACGGCUAACUACGUG
Molecule: ribosomal RNA, 497 nt
Filed under: uncultured bacterium
Lineage: Bacteria
Description: partial 16S ribosomal RNA
Rfam family: Bacterial small subunit ribosomal RNA
Source: RNAcentral